UACGGGGGGAGCAAGCGUUGUCCGGAUUUAUUGGGCGUAAAGAGCGUGUAGGCGGCCAUACAGGUCAGCUGUGAAAACUCGAGGCUCAACCUCGAGACGUCGGUUGAAACCGUAUGGCUAGAGUCCGGAAGAGGAGAGUGGAAUUCCCGAUGUAGCGGUGAAAUGCGCAGAUAUCGGGAAGAACACCUAUGGCGAAGGCAGCUCUCUGGGACGGUACUGACGCUGAGACGCGAAAGCGUGGGGAGCAAACAGG
RNAcentral lists this ribosomal RNA (253 nucleotides) under uncultured bacterium. RNAcentral's name for it is "partial 16S ribosomal RNA". It matches the Rfam family "Bacterial small subunit ribosomal RNA", at positions 524 to 776 of the family's 1533-position model. The record is from RNAcentral.